Long non-coding RNA from Cercocebus atys (sooty mangabey), 745 nucleotides. RefSeq lists it as uncharacterized. The transcript has 4 exons. Lineage: Eukaryota; Metazoa; Chordata; Mammalia; Primates; Cercopithecidae. The record is from RefSeq and is a predicted model, not a curated record.
CUCCCCGCCCCGGUGGGGGCAGCUCCUGGCUCCGAGCCCCCACCUCGGGGCUCCCAGCCUGGUCCCUCGCGGCCGACUCCAGCAGCCACAGGCAUCCUACGCUGCGUGCACACAGCAUAUCACCGGGAGAGACGGUGCGGAAAGAUGGCCUUGCCCUCAAGGAGCUGCAGUCUGCCCAGGAAGGCAGACAGGGGACAGAAAAGCAGGCAGAUCUGCAAGUAAGCAAACUACAGUUCCCCGCAGAAGACACAGAGGCAGUGAGUAAGGGGAACAGACCCAUGGCUCCACUGAAGACACAGAGCAGCAGAUGAAAAAGACACAUCCUAAAUGUUAAAGGUGGGUCUCUCUGUUCUCCUGAGCCUGGGUAGACCUUUGUAACUGCCUUGACCAACAGAAUGUGACAGAAUGAUACCAGGUGACUUCUAAGUCCAUGUCAUACAAAGCAACGCAGCUUCUGCUGGGCUCUCCUUCUCUGGACAUGUAUCUUUGAAGCCCUGAGUCCGGCUUGCCUUGGCCCACCAGGGAUGGAGAAAUGCUACAGAAGCCCUAGCUAUUCUAGUCCCCAGCCAUCUGAGUCUUCCUAGCCCAGACUCGUAAGUGAAGAAGCCUUCAAGAUGAUUCAAAUACCACCUGUCAUUUGACUACAACCUCGGAAAGCCCAAGUCAGAGCGGCACAGUGGAGCCAUUCCUAAAUUCUUGUCCCACAGAAACUGUGAAAGAUAAUAAAUGAUUAUCAUUGUUUUAA